UGUAUUGAUCUUCCAUUACACCUCUCACAAGUAUACGGACAAUCAAAAAACAGAUGAUGCAAAGUCUCCAGCGGUUCCUGACAGAGUACACACGAUGCAUCAACGUUUUCAUUCCACUUCCUCAUUCUAUCACCUGUUGAAAGCCUCCCAUGCAUUGCUAUCCAAGUAAUAAACGAGAACUUGGGAGUUGCAUGCUUAAACCAUACUGCUUGAUACCAGUCACAGAUCGGAGCGUCUUCUCUUAUGUUCAGCCAAGUUCCUCGAGUGGAGAAUUUCUCUUUAUAUUUCUCUUUCUCAUUCUUCCAUAGAGACACAUCUUUCUCUUGAAACAAGCUUGCUUUGUAUCUGUCUAUCUCAACUUCCACUCUGUUCAGAAUGUGGACCCGAUAUUGCCUCCUCCUGUGGUUUCUGCUAUCAGCCACAGUCGCAUUUGCCGGGAUUCCUAAAUCUAUAUAACCUCCCUCUCUUAAAACCUCCUGC
Molecule: long non-coding RNA, 480 nt
Filed under: Brassica napus (rape)
Lineage: Eukaryota; Viridiplantae; Streptophyta; Magnoliopsida; Brassicales; Brassicaceae
Description: long non-coding RNA (BNAP_LNC025247)
Source: RNAcentral